Molecule: ribosomal RNA, 301 nt
Filed under: uncultured bacterium
Lineage: Bacteria
Description: partial 16S ribosomal RNA
Rfam family: Bacterial small subunit ribosomal RNA
Source: RNAcentral
CAGCCGCCGCGGUAAUACGUAGGUGGCAAGCGUUGUCCGGAAUUAUUGGGCGUAAAGGGCUCGCAGGCGGUUUCUUAAGUCUGAUGUGAAAGCCCCCGGCUCAACCGGGGAGGGUCAUUGGAAUCUGUUAAACUUGAGUGCAGGAGAGAAAAGUGGAAUUCCUAGUGUAGCGGUGAAAUGCGUAGAGAUUAGGAGGAACACCAGUGGCGAAGGCGGCUUUUUGGCCUGUAACUGACACUGAGGCGCGAAAGCGUGGGGAGCAAACAGGAUUAGAUACCCGAGUAGUCCCUGUCUCUUAUAC